Small nucleolar RNA from Suncus etruscus (white-toothed pygmy shrew), 210 nucleotides. RefSeq annotates it as small nucleolar RNA U3. NCBI's taxonomy places the organism in Eukaryota, Metazoa, Chordata, Mammalia, Eulipotyphla, Soricidae. The record is from RefSeq and is a predicted model, not a curated record. The transcript has a single exon.
AAAACUAUACUUUCAGGGAUCAUUUCUAUAGUACUUCUAUAGAGAAGUUUCUCUGAUUGUGUAGAGCACCCGAAGCAACGAGGAGGAGCCAGAGUUUCCUCUCCUGAGCUUGAAGCCGGCUCUAGGUGUUGCUUCUGCGGCUGCCUUUUGCCAUUGAUGAUCGUUCUUCUCUUCCUUUGGAAGGGUUAGAGCAGGGGUCUCAAACUCAAU